Pseudocohnilembus persalinus is the source of this 72-nucleotide non-coding RNA. The record is from Rfam. NCBI's taxonomy places the organism in Eukaryota, Ciliophora, Oligohymenophorea, Philasterida, Pseudocohnilembidae.
GUCAGCUUAGCUCAGUAGUAGAGCGGAAGAUUGCAAAUCUUUAGGUCGUGAGUGCAACCCUCACAGCGGACU